UAUAUUUUGUAUUUCGUUUCUUACAAAUACAUAUAUGUAUGCGUUUCAUUGCUUCGAGUUCUUAUGAGAGAUCCAUUUUGGAUGGAUUCGCAAGGAAAAAUUCUCUACUUUAUCUUAGAAACUUUUGCUUUUUAUAUUAAUUUUAGAAACUACUACCAAAGGAAAUUACGUUAAUUCUUUUCAUGUUAUUUUUAUGUUCCUUAUAUUGUCAGUAACUAUAACCAAGGAAAUUAGUUAACUCUAAUAAGACACUUGGAUUUUUUUAUAUUCAUUAUAACACUAGAAAAGUAUAAUACAACUGCGCACAAAUGACCGAAAAAAUGUGACAGGAUUAAUUCUUAAAUCCCUCGUCGGGCGUUCCAGAUCAUUUGAAACUGACCUUAAUCGAUCAAGGGCCAAGCGAUAGUCUAUCAUAAUUUCACGUUAUACAUAUAAAGACCUAGAGUACUUUACAUUUCUUAUCGUUAGAUUUUACAUGUUACGUAAAAAUCCUACGAUUUCUAUGAAUUUAUAGAAAAUACGAAGGUGCAAAAUUGCACAGAAUGCACGUAACAUGAAAAGUAUGUAAAAUAUUCAAAGUAUAGUGCUUCUCAAAAAUAUGAAUUUGCAUAAAAACCUGCAGUCUGCUAAUCAUAUUCAUAAAACACUUUACAGAGGACAGUACUAAAAUCCUUAAUCUAUCUUGCGUAAUGUAAAUUGAAUGAAAAAAAUUGCAAAUGAGAAGAUACAACAACGUAACUGUUGGCCCUUGAUGGAUGAACAACCCUUAGACUUACUCCUACGCCGAAGCAGCGAAUUGUUAGCCAGUCGCCCAAUCGACAUUCCGAUUCCACCGUAAUCCUCGAGGGAAACUUUUAACGCAGAUUCGACGUUUCGAUACCCGUUUGCUUCGUUCGUCGUUGGUUUCUUCGUAGCCGUCGUUUCCUCUCCUCGACAACCCCUAAUUACGUAAAAUAAAAACCGUCUGUUCGCUCGGUUCCGCGAUCGGCAUCGAGAACUUACCUUUUACGAUUUCUGGGACGCGGACUCGCGUCGUUUUCGUUGUCGUUCUACCAGUGGAAUCCGCUUGUGAGCACGUCUGCGAGAGAGGAUAGACGAGUAAGCGACGACGGACAGAUGAAUCGAGUAGAAGUCGCGCGGGAAGCCUCGGGGAAAUGGCCGAAAGGACGGCCUAAUGGACAGCGCCGCGGUCAAUUAGCCAUCUCGGCCGCAUUCGUGGUUAUUAAUAGCGGAUCGUGAUCCGGCGAGAUUGAGAUCUCCGACGCGACGCGUCUUCGAGAAACGUUUCAGGCUUCUGGCCUCGCGAACAGGGAAGCGAGGAGUCGCCGUUAUCCAGCGAAUCGAAAGGCGAAGAAAGCGUUGCCUUGGGAUCGUCUUCCUCGGGACGUCUCGGAUGGCUCGAACUCUUCAACUUCCGGGACUCGGCGAAGCGAAUUGUCAUUGUCUUUUUCUUUAAACGAUUGUAAUAUUAUCGGUGGUUAACAAUUUUCAACUUGCAAUCGUAGAAUGUUUGACAUAUGUCUCAUAAUUUUGUCUUGAGUUUUCAACGUUCCAACUUCCGCUGAAGUGAGUGUUUAUCGGUUGCAGAUGGCACGUGACGUAAGUUUGAUCGUUUACGCAAGUUUAGGGAUACUUAUCUCUUUCGAAGAUUCAUAGUACUUAUCGUUGAGUCAGAAACGUUGAACUUUGAAUCGUAAAAUGUUUAAUAUACCUUAGGGUUAUCGUUAAGUGUGCCGUCGAUUUACUCGUGUACGGGGUUCUAGAGACUAUCUAUAUUUCAAAGAUCGUAUCAAAGAUGUUAUUCUAAGAUUUCAACAAACCUGAAACCUCCCCAAAACGUCGACGAAACCAACCCUGUUUACACGAACUCUGAUAUCGAAAUAUACUGAAAGUAUUGUGUAAGACGCGUUCCCUGGGGGUUUCCUCGUUGCCCACGCAAAGGAACCGGAGGCCAGGCCAGUGAUGGACCACCAGGGAGCCGCCACGCCCCCGGCGGGCCUCGUUUUACCCACGCGAUCUUUGGUGGAGCGCGCGCGUACGCUUCUGCCCGCUUGAACGACUUUAACGCAGAGAGAGGAAAAAGGUGGUGUGGUCGGCGGCACGGCUUAACUAGCGCGCGGAAUCGCGCGAACCAGCCCCGGGGGUUGGGAGAACGAGAACAAAAAAGCCUUGGAAAUCAAAGGAACAGAGGGAACGGAGGGAUGGUUAAGGGGUGAAACAGCGAGAGCGGCAAUGGCGGAUGACGACGGUGACUCGUGGCUUGGUCCAAGGAUCAAGAGGCGUGUCACCCCCGGGGCGAAGAAGCGGUGUCGACGGGAGGAUAAUCGUCGGGUCAUCGCGAAAAACGCAGGUUUGGUCGCUGACGAUCCGACAGACUGCCGAGAGAAAGGAGGCGGCCUGUGGAUGGGGUUGGAACUCGGCCUCGUCGGCGUGACGCUAUUCCGGGAAUGUGGGAAUCACCACGGCUGUGAUUCAGUUCAUAUUACCCACGUUUCGCGAAAUAAAAUGGAGUAACAGCGUGCAAAUUGUCGACGUGGAAAUAACGUAACGUGGGAAUGAAGAAAAUUUCCGUCCAUAUUCGUCGAAGAAGAUUUGCCACGAAGAGAUGCCAAUCGAUGGCAGGUUUUGCUUGUAAGACAAAUUUUUUUGAUGUUUAACAGCGUAGGAUGGGUGGAAGUAAGGUGCCUUUGGAAAGAGACGUACAACAUAUGGAGAUAUCGUGGUGAACACACCUGUGACGAGUUAUAUCACGCAACGCCCAUUACUGUCGCGGACGGUUCCACGUCGAAAACGAGUCUCUUAUUCUGCUGACAGUCAACGCCUUCUAAUCGCAUCCAUUACAGAUAUGUACAGCCGAUUGAUAUCUCUUUGAGUUUCUUCCACAUCUUUCAUUUCAGUUACAAGAUAAUCCUAUACUUUUAUAGUACAGUUCAGUAGUAACGUUUUCCGAUAAAACGACUGGGAAUCGACGAAUGGAAUUAAAUUAAUAAAUUAAUACUAAUUUUAAUAUUCUUCUUAAUAUUCACAAAUCGAAGAAACAAAUUUAACAAACCUUUGUCUUACGUUUGAUGAAUAUUUCACAUUAAUAAUAAGCUUUUGUCAACUUGUAUUACUCGAUAUUGAUGUUAUCCGAGUAGAAUGGCAAGAGAUUGAAAUGUAGAAAUAGAAGAAGCGUUCGAAGUUUGUAAAACGAUCUCAGAAACUUGCGAAAUUACCAUCCUACUGUGUUUAAUAGUUGUUUUGUACCAACUUUUUCAAUGUCGAUAUUCUUUCUUAAAAAAUGUUGAAACGGAUUGAAAAAUAUAAUAGAAAUCAACUUUAUGUCGUCAACCUUCGUCAUUUCACAAAUAUUUCCUAUGAAAAAAAAUCCUCGAAGCUCAUAAAUAAUGUAACAAUCUGCACUUUUCUUACAGAUUUCAAAAUUCUCGAGGAAUCGUGUUCGACGUCUCGAGAAUAUUUCUCAAUAAACGCUGAAACCCGUAAGAGUGAAAAAGUCAUCGAAGAAAGUCCCGAAGAAAUUUGAAAAACCACCGAAGACUAUAAAAAUCAACCUACUCCAACGAUAGCUUCGCGUCAAUCUCGUCAACGUUCUCUACUUCGCCAAUAUCCCCUUUAAAAAGUAGCCCACAAAGUCGACGAAUGACUCGAGAAACUUUUCUCCUCUGCUCGUGAACACCAAAAUUCUUAAACCGAAGAAAAUUCCAACUGAGCUUUCGCGCCACCUCGGAAAAUCUCCGAACCACCGAAAACUAUAAAAAUCAUGCCGCUUCGUGCCCAACGAUAGUUUCACGUCGAUCACGUCGACCUCGCCACUUCGCCAAUAUCCCCUUUAAAAAGUAACUCACAAAGCUCUAGAAUCAUUCGAGAAACUUUCCUCUUCUACCGGCAAAUCCCGAAAUUUUCAAACGUACGUUUCAGAUCGAUAAACGCUAAAAAUCCGCGAACAAAAGAGGACAAAAAAAAAAAAAAAAAUAGAGUGCGAAAAUCAUCGGAGAAGAUUCCAAUUCCACUUUGCUUUACCUCGAAAAAUCGCUCGAAAAACUAUAAAAAUCACCUCCGCUGUACGUUCGAUUGUUCGUGCUAAGCUCGUCAACGUUCGCCACGAAACACCAUGUACCCGCGGCAAGCAUCCCUCUUUGUCUCUCGAUGCAGAGUCAAAAGGGCGAUCGUGGAAACUGGCCACGUUCCUGGAGCGCAAAGGCUGCCAGUUACACGGCGGGUCGACGGGGCUGGCGUUAAAUUCAGCCGUCAGAGAGCUUUCAGCAGGGUUCAGCAACAGCGUCAGCAACUCUGUUCCCUCGGCUCGUCCGGCAACGCAUCCACCCGCCCUCUCGCGUCAUAUACGUGUCUUUGUGUGUACGCGCGGCACAUCCGUAUGUUGUACGUGUGUGCAUCGCGAGCUGCUAGCCGACCAACUCGUCACGCAUAUGCUGCAACGACCUUUUGCAUCAAAAGCUUUGUUUAUGGGCCGAGGAGAUUUAUAGGCCGCGCGACGAUGUACGCGGCCGGUAUGCGUCGUGGUUUGUUAGAUCUUGGUUCUCGAAAUACGACCGUGGCGGAAGGAGGUUUGAACCGCGGCGUGGAAUCGCGACAGGUAGUCCACAGGGUUCAGACUUUGCGUGGAAAAAAUUCCAUAUGAGUUUCAGACGAAGGGAAGUAUGGAUUUUUGACGAGUCGACGAAUGACAAAUCGAUCGUUUGCGUGUAAUACUUUUACUGGUAAAGUAGGCCGAUAGGAUUCAGAUUUUACGAGGAAAAAUUUACGAUGAAUUUCCACGAAAGGAGGAAAGUUUAAUUAACAAUUUGGAAUUGAUGAAUGACAAAUUCAUGGAUUUUAGUUCGACGCUCAUACUGCUACGCGCAUCCGCAAGAUGGUCCACGAAGUUGAGAUUGCGCGAGCAAGAAAAGCCAGACGAGUUUCGAAAGAGGAAAAGUUGAAAUUCUCGACGUGAUUUUUUUCCAAUCGAUAAAUUUGCCAUUCACUUUCGCCAUCAUGCACACUGUGGUCCUAGUUUCGUGUGUCCAAAUUGCGUUGAUAGCUUGGUUCUUGAGAAGUACACGUAGCAACGUGUAUUUGACUAAUUCUCGUGUGUAGUUUAUUCUAAAAUUUAAAGUGACACAAAAUUUUAUUUACGCGACAGAAUUUCAUAUAAUAUCGUGUUUUCACCGGUAUAAUAUUUCAAGGAAUUGUAUCAAUUUCUAGUAGCAGGUAAAUAUUUUCACGGUGGAACUAAUUAGUUUCGCUCGCUGCUUGUCUUCGUUUCUCAAUACACCGCAGGUAAUGCGCACCACAAAUGCAAACUGCUUCCAAAGAUCAGCUCAAAGCAACAUCAAGCCUUAUCCUAUCGUAUCCGUACUACUCACGAAAUCAAAGUAAUUUUACCCUGCCGAGUCUCGAUCCUUCUCUUACGGUUUCAUAUACACCUUGCGACUAAUUAAUAUCGCAAGAAUCUGCCAUCUUUUAUUACCUUCUUUAAUAACGUGGAACUCAAGAACCGCAGAAUAUAUUUAUUGGUUGCAGGAAUUAUUAAUUUCGCGAACAGGAGCUCGCGUAGCAAACUUCGAUAUUUCUCCUCUUUUACGUAAUCGUAAACGACGUUUUUGUCGCGUUCGCCAACGAACACGCUGUCAUCGAUUCCAGAAUUGCGUAAUGUAACUGCUCGAUCAAGAAUUCCCAAUGUUCUUCUAUUUAAUCCGAAAAUUUAUUUAUAUAACGCAAAACAAUGUUCGUUCUCUCUUUAUUUGCAACUUGAAGAGUUUCAAAGUCGAUGCUAAAUACUAAAUCGGUUUUCCCUUUUUCCAUGAUCGACACAAAAUUCGCUGUGAGAAACCAACGGUUUCGUAUAAUUUUCUUUCGUUUUCUAUCAUCGCUAAGAAGUCUUACGUAACGCAAGGGUAUCGGUUAUUUUACGAUCACGAACACCACUGUCAAGGAACUCUAAUUCUACCGGCUUCGUAGCUUCACCGAGUCAACGAUGCCGAGAAAUAAAUUAAAUGGAAAAUCAAUUUCACACCGAGACUCGUCCGACCCGAUUUAUAUUUUCGCAGUUAAAAAUCGAGCGAGAGUAAUCGUAGAAGCGUCGUAAUCGUUCGAGUGAUCGCGAUAUCGCGCGAAAUUCAACGCAACGUUGCGCAACAUUUGGUUGGAGGCGGACGAAUCGUCAGGUGGAUCGCGAUAAAUAAAGUCGCAAGAGCGCAAGAAGCCGAGGAGGCCAGCGAACCGAGCGACGGAGGAAACACUUUCAAAGGAAAUGCACACCAACAGACAGAGAUUUACGGGGAUGAUAGAGCGGCCCGUUUUUAUCGCACCGGCGAGACCAACAAAACGUUCGAUAUCCGCUCGGUGACCGGUCGAUGCGCGUUUCGCGAGUCGCUUGCGAGAUCGUUCUGUCGUCUCACCGACUCUUCCCCGUCCCUGUCUUUUCAUUUCGUCAUUAAUCCUUCUUCAAUCGUAUCCUAUAUUUUCGACAUAUUCCAUCAAGUACAAUUUUUUAUUCGAAUGAUAUCGUUAACGCGUUGCGGACGCGCUCGGUGGUGCAAAGUGUUUCACGGGAUUGCUAGGAUCAAGAGGAAAGUUAUCUGAAAAUCCGAAAUUACGAAAUUUCGUCAAAAAAUCGAUAGAUUUGGAGAAAGCUUGUACUCACGAUGGUAUUUUAUUUCAAAGUGCAAUGUUUUAUUCGAACAGCGUUAUCAACGCAUUAGAAAUGCACCUGGCGCGAUGCGAAGGUUUAAAAUUCGUUUUAGAAAAUUCCGAGGGUUAGAAAGCAAGUUAUUUGAAGAUCCUGUUCCUCGGAAUUCGCCAGAAAUCGAUAGAAUUUGAGAAAACUGUAAUUGUAAUUAUAAUUGCACUGUUUGGUAAUUAUAUAAUGUACUAUUCCUUGGAUCUACUUUAGAAAUAAAUCAUUAACGAUUAGACGAUACUAUUCCAUAAAUCGCAUGAUUACUUAGUAUACGUUCUUUAUCUUAUAGAAACUUCUUCAUAAAUCAAUAGUUGCGGUCGACAAAAAAAGAAGACGAAGAGGAUGUUCUUACGCGAGGCUAACUUCCAUGUGAAAUUUACUUAAUACAUGUUUGUAACGAUAUACAAAUUUCGGUACAGAUAUAGCAAAUUAUGAAAUAACAGCGUGAAAUAUUUGUAGCGGUAGAAAGAAAAUGCUAUUCGAGGCAUAAAGGGUUAAUAUGAAAAAUAUAUGAUAUUUAGAAUAAAAUGAAAAUGUAAAAAUUGCUGUAAUGUAUUUCUAUGUAAUUGGUAUAAUUUAGUUUGAUCCCUCGUCAAUUACGGUAUAAUGUAAUGAUAAAUUAUUAGCUUUGUUUACACAAUAUAUAAAAAUACAUAGAUUAAAUCUAUUUGAAGAAUCACACACAUGAUUAUACUCGCCCUACGUAACACAUGUUUCAUUGUAUUAGUAUAAGUUUCAAGAUAACAAUUACUCCCGUCCAGUGUAUGUAAAUAUACGAUUAAAUCUUCUCAA
Long non-coding RNA from Bombus huntii, 7471 nucleotides. RefSeq lists it as uncharacterized. NCBI's taxonomy places the organism in Eukaryota, Metazoa, Arthropoda, Insecta, Hymenoptera, Apidae. The record is from RefSeq and is a predicted model, not a curated record. The transcript is spliced from 3 exons.